Molecule: long non-coding RNA, 21828 nt
Filed under: Fragaria vesca (wild strawberry)
Lineage: Eukaryota; Viridiplantae; Streptophyta; Magnoliopsida; Rosales; Rosaceae
Description: long non-coding RNA (FVES_LNC000533)
Source: RNAcentral
UUCCCCUGGGCCCUUCGUUUUAAAUUGCCCAGUCUGCAGAGUUCGGGUUGAUCUAGUAGGAGACGAGGCAUAGUCACCCGUCUUUUCGGCCAGUUUUCAUCAGUAGGUUACCUGUUCGACCUACUCGUGUUUUCUUGCUUCCGCUUGUGUUUAGUAGCUCUGAAUACUUUAGAAUUUUUGUAUAUUAUGUGAUGUUCAGAAGUGUAAUAUGAAAUUUUCGAGUUAGGGUUGUCCAUCUACAAGGGAGAUUUUCUUAAUCUUUUCAGUAAAUUUUCCUUGGAGGUGGUCCCCGCACGACUUAUUCUGGGUUUCAGGGUGAAAUUCGGGGUGGGUCGUGUCACAGUCACUCACCUAUGACCUAUCCGGCUAUCCCUCUUCCCCUCUGCGGCUCCGCCUCCACUCCCCUCCAGUCCUCCACGGCUCCACCAUAAUCUCCUUCUUCCCGGCCUCCUCCGGUCCUCCCCGAUAGCGACGACUCGCCUCCGGCCCUCCGCCUCCACUCACCUACAAAAAGUAGGCAUAAUCUCCUUCUAUCUCUUUCUUCUUAUAUAGAAUCUGAAAUUGUAAGUUAUGGUUGAGCUCCUACACUUUGCAUGGUUGUACUGGAAAAAAAAAAAUUUGCCUUUCGGCCAAAGUUCAAGCCCACCCUAUCUUUAAAUCCUAGAUCUGCCACUGUUCAAGAAACCAUAAUUCUAAGUUGAGUUUCUAGCGUUGUGCUCAAAGCAGAUGAAACAGAAAUAAGAGAGAACUAAUGAAGGGAAAUGAGAGACGGAGAAAAUGACAUGGACUUAAUUAACGCUGGAUUGAUACAAAUUAAAAAAAGGGUAUCAGCAACAUUAAACAAAGACUCGCGAUUUAUGAAAUUCAGUACAACCUACGCAGGGAAGAAGAACUAGAUCCCUUCUUGUACUUUUCUGCUACCUUGAUCAUCGUCUCGACUUCGACGUUAGACCGCCUCUAUAAUUCGAAAUGGUGAUCAUGUUCUUUAUCCCUAGCCGUUUUUCCUCAGCGGAUACAAUCAAAAUUCCAUUGGCAUCGAUCUCAAAACAAACAAUGAUUUGAGGCUUACCUUUUGGACCAGGAGGAAUACCAUCAAGCAAACGCUCACCCAACAAUCUAUUUUUUUUGGCUAUGUUUUCUUCGCCCUCAUAGACAGGAACCAUCAAAGUAGGUUGGUUAUUUAUGAAAGUUGAGCCAAUUUUAGUUUUCUUGGUGGGAAUGGUAGUGUUCUUUGGGAUGAAAACCAAAAAAUUUCCCCUGUGAGUCUCUAAACCAAUAGAAAGGGGAGUUACAUCCAACAAGAGUAAGUCCUUCUCAAUGCCACCCUACAAAAGUGCAGCUUGUACCGCAGUGCCAUAUGCAACUGAUUCAUCAGGAUUGAUACUACUCUUGCAAAGCUCCUUACCAUUAAAGAAGUCUCGCAAUAGCUGUUGUACCUUGGGAAUUCUACUAGAUCCACCAACAAGUACAAUAUCUUGAAUACUAUUCUUAUCCCUUUUAGCAUCCCCAAGACAUUUCUCCACAUUCUUCAUGCAUUUUCUAAAGAGAUCCAUGUUGAGCUCUUCAAAUUUUGCUCUUGUUAUUUUAGAGUGGAAGUCGAUGCCUUCGAAUAAAGAAUCUAUUUCAAUGGUUGUUUCAAUAAUUGAAGAAAGAGUCCUCUUUGCUCGCUGACAAGAUGUUCUCAAUUUUCUUAAUGCUUUGGGGUUAUUGCUGAUGUCUUUCUUGUGUUUCUUCUCAAAUUCUUGCAUAAAGUGGGUCAGCAUUCUAUUAUCAAAAUCUUCACCCCCGAGAUGCGUAUCUCCUGCAGUAGCUUUCACCUCAAAAAUCCCAUCUUCAAUUUUAAGGAGGGAAACAUCGAAGGUACCACCCCCAAGAUCAAAAAUGGGACAUUAUUACCACCAAUGUUUGUGGCCUUUUUGUCAAGACCAUAUGCAAUAGCUGCGGAUGUUGGCUCAUUAAGGACACGCAUCACAUUCAUGCCUGCUAUCACACCAACAUCUUUUGUCGCCUGUCAUUGAAAGCUAUUGAAGUAUGCCAGGACUGUUAUAACAACUUUGUUUACUGUCUGUCUCAAGUAGGCCUCUGCAAUUUCACGCAUCUUACUGAGAACCAUUGAAGAUAUUUGUUCAGGGGCAAAUUGCUUCUUUUCAUUUUUGUAGUUGACCACAAUCAUUGGCUUGUCACCCGCACCACGAACCAAGGGCCAUAAUUUCAUAUCACUCUAAACACAUGCAUCACUAAAUCUUUUACCUAUUAAUCGUUUUGCAUCAAAAACAGUGUUGAUUGGAUUGGCGGUGACUUGGUUCUUGGCAGCAUCACCGAUCAAUCGCCAUUCAUUAGUGAAAGCAACAUAGGACGGUGUUGUUCUGUUGCCUUGAUCAUUGGCUAUGAUCUCUACACGAUUGUGUUGCCAAACCCCAACGCACGAGUAAGUAGUUGGUGCCUCGCCUUUUGCUGAUAAUGCCAUUAUCAAUUGGAUGUGUUUGUGAAGAUAUAUUUGUUUUAGACAAACUGAGACAAUCGAAACAAGCUUGAAACUAAUGGGUCUGAUUUGCAAGUAUUUAUAACGAGAGAUUCAACACACGAAUAAUGUAGCAGUGUUCCGUUAGGAAACUGGAUUCCUAGGUUUUCCUAGUAAGAAAAGUUAGGAAAACAACUAUCUCCGAGUCCUUUAUUUAUUUGCAAUCCUAAUUGUUCCAAGAAUCCUAAUUGUACUGGUCCUUUGGCUCCAUCAGCAAUUUUCUUCUUCUGAUGAGAUACAUCGAACAUUGUUCGACGUGUUAUAUUAAUUUGAGAAACAUCGAUCUUUGCCUUCAUCAGCAAUGUUCUUAUGUUUGGAUCCAUCAAACAUAUACAGGAUGUCGUACUUCAAUAUGAAACUCGUCUUUUGCAGAAACCUAUAUGAAGGAGCAACCCAGAAAACUUUGGUGUAUUCCAGACUACGCCCCUGCAUGUGUUUAAUCAGCCCAGAAAUAUAAAGCUUACGACGACGCCGGUCAGAAGCCAAGCUUGAUCGAGUGUAUAAAUUGGUUUAUUCGCAAGACAAGCAAAAUCAACAGUUACAUGACUUGCAUCGUUUUCCUCUGUAUGUCCUUGUCAGGAGCGGGAAAAGAAUCGAUGAGUCGGUCCUUAUUUCGUUUCUCUAAAAAGAGGAAAAAACUUGGGUGACAAGGUCUGGUUACUAACGAUGACAAACACCAAUGAAGAAAUGACACGUGGCCAGAAAAACAAUUAAAUAUAAAUACAAAUUACCAAUAACCCCUUACAGUGCCCUCAAAGUCAAACCUAAACUCUUUAACGGGACACGUAUCCCUUCUCCAUUGGUGUUAGUCAUUUGCAAGUGACCAUACAUGGUCACCGAAGUCGAGUCUUUAAAAAAGACAGGUCAAGUGUUUAUUUAGUUUUUGUUGUUUGUUGAGAAUGUGGAAUUACCGUUGAACACAAAGUGUUAUUCGUGCGUAAUAAUUUAAUUAAUCAACUUUUUUCCAUCUGCGGUUGAUACAGAUGCCACAUGUUAACAGAUGACCGGCGUGUCAGGCGUCAUUAACCAAAAAGUAAUGUACCACAGACCUAAAAAGUAUCACGAGCCGCCAUCGUUUCGUCGUAUUCCAAAAAAAAGAAAAGAAAAUUAGCCACUCUUGCGAUGGUGGCUGCAAAAAGGGCCUAUAGAUGCAGAGUAAUCCGAUCGGCAAACCUGUCCUCUGCGCUUCGGUAUUUCUUGCUGCUGUUUUUGCAGUUGGGGUUGGGGAGAGAUGUCUAUGGAUGGCGAAAGCGUUGGACAUUGAUUUUGGGCUCGAACACAAGAGAACAAUUCCCUAUCCGAUGCCAAAUUCAGGGUUUGUUUGCUUUUCUGGGUCAAGCUUUAAUAUUAUUACGACAGGAUCUUUACCAGGUUCAAUUUUAAUUUGUCAGAUCUGUCUGCAGGCAGACUCUAAGGGACCGGACCGAGGACGGAGACUAAAUUGAUUUGAUGUACAGAUUUAUGUAGGGAUUGAUUGAAAGCGGAGCUCCACCGAAACCCUGAUUUCCGAGUAAUACUCCAGUCUAUUUGCAUUGAACUAACAAUAGUGAGGGGCUGAGCCUCCCACCUAAGCAGUUUUGUAAAACCCCUUAAAAAAAAAAACUAACUAAACGAUGUUCAAGUUCAGAGUUCUAAGUUAUAUAGAUCUGGGGAGAAAUCAUUAUCAUUUUAUUAAUAUCGCUAUAUUUCUGUUUAAUCCAUUUGUUAUUAGUUUCCAAGUUAUAUCAUAAGGUGGCGUUCAUUUUUUUUCUUUAGUGCUCAUGCUUAUUGAGGUUUAUACUCGUAGCAUUUUACAUACUAUAGAGAUGUAUUGGGAGUAACAACCCAAAAGUGUUCAAGAUUAAAACAUUUGAAAUCUUCAUUUGUAAACACAUAUAAACAAGAGAGUGAGUGUAGUUGUUAGACUAGCUAGUAGAGAGACCAGUUAGGAUAGCAACGAUCAUACCUAUUAGAGCCGUUCCCUUUUAUCAUUGCUAUCCUAACUAGUCUCUCUACUAGCUAGUCUGACAAGUACACUCAACCUCUUGUCACUCUCUUGUUUAUAAGUGAGAGAGUGUAGUUGUUAGACUAGUUAUGAUAGCAACGAUCAAAGGGAAUGACUCUAAUAGAUUUGAUCAUUGCUAUCCUAACUAUUCUCUCUACUAGCUAGUCUAACAACUACACUUACUCUCUUGUUUAUAAGUGUUUAAACACGAAGGUUUCAGAAGUUUUAACCUUGAAUCCAGCUACUUCUAAGCUGGUUGGUUAAACUCAUAGCAUUUUGCAUACCUUGAGAUGAGUAGUUGCAUAAUUGGAUCAGCUUAAAUGUAGCUGGAUUCAAGGUUAAAACUUCUGCAACCUUCAUGUGUAAAUACUUAUAAAUAAGAGAGUGAGUGCAGUUGUUCGACUAGCUAGUAGAGAGACUAGUCAGGAUAGCAACGAUCAUAUCUAUCAGAUUCAUUCCCUUUGGUAUCAGUUCUAUGUUAGUUUUUAUGUUAUAUAAACAUGGUGAGCAUCAUAAGGUGGUGUUCGGUAUUGUUAUCAUGCCUGUAUUUUCAUGUUUUGUGCUCAUGCGUAUUGGGGUAUAGCUUUUUUGUUCAAGCCCAUGUCUAAAUCCUUCUUCUUUUUGCUGUUUGUAUUAUCUAAUUAAUUUUUUUUUUUUUUUUUUUGUCUCUCUGAUAGUUUAGUGUCCAUCCCUUUGGUAUUAGUUUAUAAUACAUGGUGAGAAAUCAUAAGGUGGUGUUCAGUAAUGUUUUCAUGCCAUAUUUUCAUUUUUUGUGCUCAUGUUUAUUGUGGUAUAGAUCUUUUGUUCAAGUUCCUAUACAUCGUUGUAGAGCUCUAUGUAUUAAAAUAAUACUGGUUUUUUGUGCUCUUUAUUGGAUUAGAGUCCUUCCCUUUGGUAUUAGAUCCUAAGUUAUAUAAACAUGGUGUUAUUUUAGAAGGUGGUGUUUGGUAUUAUUUUAGAAGGUGGUGUUUGGUAACAUUUUUAUGCUUUUAUAUUUUAGAAUAUUAAUACUCUGGAAAUGUGUUUUCGUGACGUAUUCUACUUUUUUUUUUUUUUUUUUUUGAGGUAGAAAAUAUGGAAAUAUAUUGAUGCUUUAAACUAUUGAACAUGUUUUCAAAUUUUAUUAAGUAUUAGUAUUAUGAAUAGAUUAUUUCGUGUACAGGAGUUAUUGCAGAACUGCAAAUCAAAUCGAUUUAUUCAGUUUCUUCAGAAUUAAGGAUAGUUUUCUUUUUGGUAUUUUAUCAUGAUGGAGAGCUUUCUCAAGUUCUUAAAGCAAAUGUUUUAUCUAAACUAAUAUUGUUAAAAGAUGCUGAUUAGCUAAACCUUUUUUUUUUUUUCUCUCUCAGGUCUUACCCAGACACUCAGAGAUUACAGAGGACAAAGCUCUUGAUUUGAUGUAGAGGUGAAGAUGGCGCAUGCACUACUUGGAAUAGGGCUAAAGCCUAUGAUAGGUAGCGACGUUUACCCGUAGGUUUGUUUCUAAUUUAGGGUGCAACCCUUCUGGUUACGGGUGUUAUAUUCAUCCCAUGACAUUGUCUAAUAUGAAUGAAACAUCGCAUCUAUGAGAGUAUUAUUUUUGAUAUCAAUAGCCACUUUAACUAUUUAACUGUGUUUUUCAGAAGUUUAACUAACGAAGAUCCAGAAGAAUGGAUCUGGGCUUUGGAAAAGAUGAAGAUGCAAAGGGUAAAGACAUGACUGCUUGGUCCAACCUAGAAAGACAUGGGACUUGAUGGGCGUUUUUCAUAUGAAAUCCUUAUUCCUGAUGUGCUAAGAAGAAAAAACAGAAUAGAAUCGGUGGCACGAGUUAGCUAGGAGGGCGAGUCAGGUUUUGGUUUCUUCCUGAUUUCAUUCUUCAGCUGCAUGAUAUUCUGGAGAUCAACUUUCUUUCGACAACAGAUCUUGACUGGAAUGUUGAGUGCGCCGUGUAUUAUAAUCAGAGAGGGAGCUUAUGUCAUUGCAUUACAAUGUUGUGAUGCAUAUCUUCCUCAAAAGUGCUUGAACAUGAGAUUUUCACUGUGUUUCUUGGGACUUGUGGACUCAUGUAAAUUGACAUACAAGCUUUGCGCCGCCUACUGGUCCAUACAUCUCUGCUGAUGGCUCUGGCACCUCUCUCUCUCUCUCUAUAUAUAUAUAUAUAUAUAUAUAUAUCUGCUGAUGAUCCAGGCACUAUUUAUUCGAUAAGAAACAAUAAUACUCUCAAUGUGAUUUCUCUUCUGAAGUUAUGUUAUUGGAAGAAGUUCUGGAAGCUACCGAAUUGGCUCACUGCCCCAGCAGCUCUCAGUUUCAGGUACUAUUGUAAGUAUUAUCUUUAUUUUUUACUUGGUUUGUUGUUUCUUCCGUGUUUUAUCUGUUUACGCACAUGGAUGGACACAAUAUUUGCUUCAUUAGUCCAUAUUCUGUUAAAUAUUUGUCCAGUGGAACAAUCUUAAUAUUGUGAAAAUAUUUGUUUUUUGUGUUGAGUUCAUUGAUAUGCCAAACUAUUCCCUUUCAAAGCUUGAGGAGGUGGAGUGUUAUGCUAGGAGCCUGGUAGUUCUCCCCAUUAUCUCAAUUCCACAUCUGGGAUUGAUAACUUAAUGGUGUCUUGCACACAUCUAACAUCUCACAUUUAGAAAGCAUCAUAAAUCCAUUUCUAACCAGUACAGUUACUACUUUGUGGCGGAUUCAUCUGCCUGAAAUAGUUGACUGACAAUUAAAUGGUUUCCCUUGGUCGGAACUGGGAACUGUUGAUUUACAUUAGUAAUUGACUAAUUGUGUAUGGAACCUGUCUGUGUCAACGUACAAGUUGCCACAACUCCAAAGAGUUAUCCAUGAUUUCUUGGUGUUUUUGGGUGCAUGCACCAAAACCUUGAUAUUUUCUUUAAUAAGUGUAAUUCCUCAAUCAUGUCAAUUGGAGAGAAAUGAUUCUGAUUGUACGCUGAGUUUCUAAGGUCUAAAGUCUCAACCUUAUGCUCCCUGGCGUAAAGUUGCUUCGCCCGGAUGCUUGCUGAAGACUAACGGUGGUGUGCAAAGGUAGGCUAAGAUUCUGCCGUUGACUUGACAUUUACAUUUAAUAAUAAUCUGGGAACGAAAAUUUUGGUUGGUAUCUGCCAAGGGGAUUUUUGAAGAUGGUUGGCCUCUUAAAUCAUUUGAAGUUGGGAACUAUAGGUAUCAUUGGUUGGUAAGCUUUAUGGUGCUUAAUUUAAUUAUUGAGGCAGAUUAUGAGCAUUUUUGCUCUUCACAUUUACUUUUACUUUAUUAUUAUUAUAUAUCUAUUUGUUGUUAGGACUGUUCAUAAGGAACAGUGCUAUCAGUGUUUAACAGUGUUGGUUGUUGCUGUUGGGCCUGCAGCAACAGUGUAAUGACCAGUUUUGCCCUUUGUCUCGCUGGCCGCCUCUUGAAGCUUCCAGAGCGAGCUCAAAUCUUCGCUUCUCCUUUUUUCCUGUGAUUGAACCCAGCUCUUUUUGAUCCACCCUUUCUCUUGCUCGUCGCCUCCUGAAGCUUCUAGAGCGAACUCGAGACUUUCUCCUUUUUUCCUCUCUUUAUCCUUCUGCGCUCUCUCUCUCUCUCUCUGUCAGUCUUUCUGUCUCAGAAAAGAUUGCCACUUCCAUGUCUCUUUCGUUUUGGUUUUGUUUUGUGAUUGAUUUCUAUUUGCUGGAAGGAAGCUUGGAAUCUGGAAUUGGUACUUUCCACUAUCCUCUUUUGUUUCCAAAUUAGAAUCAUUAUAGUUACUCUUUCUCUUACUCCGUUAAUCUCAUUCUUCUUCGGCAUCUGUUUCUGGGUUUGUCCUCAGAUUGAGAGAGAAAAAUAAUUGUUGAUGGGUAUUGUUUGAGGUUUGGAUUCUGAAUAUUGAAUAGAAUUUUUUAUUUUAUUUUGGCAUAUUAACAAUCAAUGUCUUUUGCUCUGAUUCUAAUUCUAAUGGAGUGCUAAAUCUUCUGGGUUUCGUCUGUUUUUGCAGUUACUGGCUUACUACUGUAGACUCUGGAAGUACUGCUUUACAAUUUAUAGUUUGAAUGAUGAAGUGGAUCAAACUGACAUUGCAAAAGCUCUUUCCGUGUCUCCAAACAUUCAUCAUCAGGUAUUUCAUUUUUGGGUUGUUUCAUUUGUGGGAUUUUCUUACUUUUUUUUCUUCGUGUGACAUUAUGUAGCUUUGAUUUAUCAAUAUCUGAUUCCAUUUCUCAGCUCUUGCUGGGGGAUGUAAACGUGAAUUUGUUCAUUACAGAUUACUGUAUGCGGGGAAUGACAGGCUAUGAUCUCCUCCAAAUGAUUAAGGUAAGCUACAAGGCCUGACACCAGUAUAAUGAUUUUGGCUUCUCAAAACCGGUGCAUUAUUGCGGCUAACAAGAAGUGAUCUUUGUAUUACCAAGUUGUAUGUAUCUCACAGUUGCAAAUGUAGCCUGUGAUUUCAAAAUCCUACCUGUUCCCAUGAUGCAUAUCUCUUUCUAUCGUUUAGCAGAUCUUAAAGAAUGUGAUCUAAGCUCUAAAGCAUCGUCCUUAGUAGGGACGAUAUGGGUUAGAUGAGAUUCAACAACUUUGCAUAAUGUUUCCUUAAUUUGGUGAAUUACAAUGCAUGUAUCUAAAUAUAGUGCCUCGCUAAAUUUGCAGGAUUGACAUACCAGUUGCUACCAUGUCCUCAGUUGUUAAUACAUGAUUCUAAGUAGCAAAUGGAUAAACAGGUAGCUUUGAGUUAUGUCAUAAUCUUAUGUCUUUAUGAAUCUAAGCUAAUCUAUCACUUGAUGACUUUGCAUUUGGAAACUUCAAUUGCAAGUCUUCGGAGCAUGUAUAAAAUGUCUGGCUGACGUUGUUACUCUGUUUCAGAGGGAAACGAUUGGGAAUGCCGUCAGUCUUGAUCUGCUGCCUAAAGAUUUAGGAUAGGCACAUUAAGGUAAAGCUAACUCUAAUUUUGCUAUUUACAUAUGGUUGAAAUAUGCUUCUAUAUAUAUGCUUAGCCAAAAACCAAUUAUCAAAAGUGAAUAUCAAGAGUGCUCUCUUGGCUUUUGAGAAAUAAGGUGGAGAUUGAUGAUAAGGAAAUUGUCUUUACGUUCUUUUUACCAUUUGAAAAUUGUAUAUUACUGGUUAUUGUGCAAUGAUUUUGCUCAGUCUCUGGAAUAAAUUUUCUUGGUUGAGUUGUUCAGAAAUUGUAAUUUUGUACUGUUAAUUGGAGAUUUCUUUCUAUUAUUAAUCUUAAAAACAAUCUGAUACCAAUGCAGGACAGGAUGUUGAUGCUUUGCAAUUUAGUACAUAUUGAUUAUCCAGAAAUGUCGAGGACCAGUUAAUCGAAGCUUCAGAAGAGAAAUGUGAAAGUCGUUUUAAGGCUACAACUCGAUGCUACAUAUGUAAGUUCUUUACUUUUAGGAUUUGCUGAUUCAUUUUCUCCGGUCUUUACUUUUAGAUUCAACUCCCAGGGAGCAUACACCAAAACAAAAUAACUUCGGACAUUACAUAUUCUCGCCAAUGGAAUGAGGAUAUGAUUGAGGCCGAAAAUUUAUUGGUUAAUGGCCAAAAACUUAUAUGAACCAAAAUAUGCAUUUUGUUUUUCUAUAGCUUGAGAGGAAACAAUUGUCUAUAUAUCUAGCAGCUGCAUUACAACAAGACUAAAUAGAUAUCCAGGAAGUGGUACGGUUUUAACUGCUCUAGACUUCCCUGCAUUAUUUAGAUGCUCAUUCUCCAACUCGGACCAUUGAAAUAAAUUGAUCAUUAGAUCCAGCAAUCAAAAAGACGAGUUUAGUUUCAUGUUAAUGUCAUAUGGCUGCACAUGUCGACUGAUAUAUAUGAAGAACAGCCUUUUAAAAGUUCCAUAACCCUCUAAUGACUUCAAGGAAGAAUAGCCCUGUUACUCUGUAGUCCACAUGUCCAAAACAUGAAUGAUGAACAGUUUGCAACCAAGCUAGCCUGAGAACAAGAUUUAAUCCCUGCACAACAUGCAUAAAAUUAUUCAAAAUCAGAUUAGGAAGCCAUCAAACUGGUAAGAUCUAAGCUGAAACCUUGAAGUAGACUGUAUGUAUGUAAACUUAAAAGCAAUCAAAUCAUGUUUCUGAUUGAUUUCUAUUUGCUCUCUAUAUUCAUGGCAGACUGACUUUGUAGUUAGGUAUUACUGAGCACUUACCGAAGAAGUUUACAUUUUUUUUUUCAAUUGCCCAGUCCUAUCAUAACAAUAAAUUUCUUGCUUUACAUAGGUUCCGAUGCUCACAAACCUCGAGUAUGCGACAUGUUACUACAUAACUGGAUGCUACAAACCUCAGGACCAUUGCUAUUGCAUGAAGGCCACACAUUACCGUGAUCUUGCUUAUGCUGUGUCCUUCCUGCCUUAUUACUGGAGAGAUGCAGGUAAUGCUCCUAGGCUAUGUUGCUCCUUUUAUAUUUAUCUGUAUUGCCUUUUCUUUUUCAAUUGACCAAUAGAUAUCUCAGUAUCUCACGCAUUACCUUGAGCAGUUUAGAGCAGAUGAUUUCUGUAAACAUCUGAUGUCGUUUGAUAGCCAUUCUUCAGUCUAUCCAUAUGUUAUUAAUUAGCUAAUUUAUUUGGAAGAACCUUUCCUUCACUGAGAAAUCUUAUAUGGGAAUACAGUUCAGAGUGUUCAUCUCUAACUAGCAUGGAUCAAAGUGUGAAAAGAAAGUUUCCUCUCCAUGUAACUUUUCCUGUUAUCUAUGUAUACUGAUGCUUAGAUUAGGACCAUUAUUACUCAUGUUUUAUUCACCAUUAGUGAGCUUCUAGGUAUGAUGACCACUGUCAAGCUUAGCUCUGCAUGUUUAUUUGGGCAUCUUUCACAAUUAAUGAUUUAGUUAAAUAGUUUGACGUUUCCUUCUAAUAUUUUCUUUUACAUGCUCUUUGGGUCUUUACUUUUACUACCAUUAGAUUGCUAAUUUAAAAAGCUAAACUUGCUCAUUUCAUGAUUCGAAUGUUUCAGUUCACAGUAGCUCAAGGCGCUCUAGCUUGCCACCUAAAUCAGAUCAGAAGUUCUCAUGUUUCAGAUGGGACAUUUUUGUGAAAGGGUGCUAAGAAGCAGAGGUUGCCAUGAUUCCCUUAAAUCCUGCCCACCCUAAUACUUUAUAGGUUGGUCCUGACGUUGAGGCAUUCCCAAACUAAUACUAUGGUUGAUGCGUGUAGAGAAAAGGGAGAAGUUUAUCAAGGCGUGGAGUUGAUGACUAGCAGAAGAAGUCCACUUAUGGUUUGGUCAUGUGGGCACUCAAUUUUGCAACGACUGAAAUCCUGCCGGCCUGUGAACAUUUUCUUGAUGUUUUGGGGGUGAAGAAGAACUUUGCAGCUUUUACGGGUAAAGGCAAGUGCAGCUGCAUUCCGUUUUCUUACAUUACAAUGUAACAUGAUUAUCCUUUGGUCUAGGCAUUAUCAGUACAUAUGUGAAGUUAAUAGCAUUAGAAGUUAAUUGGUGCAUCUGGGUAUUGCAUGUGUUUUCUAAUUAGUAUUGGUGUCUCAACUGCUAAGACGGUGUCGUAUUUGUAAGGAAACUCUGGUGGCCAUUUCACUUAAUAAUAUAUUUUGUAAUUACUUAAAAAGGAAAGAAAAAAAAGAGUUGAAUAGAAAAUGAAAAGAAAUGGUGAAAAUUACUUAUGAACCCUCCCGUCCCGGCCCGUCCCCUUCCCUUCACCUCACUUACCCUACCUUAUAUAAGCCCUCGUACCUUAAUCCCUAAACACAGCAGCAAUUUAGAAAAUCAACAUCCAUUACCAAAACUCUAGCUCAAAAAUGGGUUACUCAUACGUCGGUUACUCCAACGGCAACAUGAAGCUUAAGGCUACUGCAAAGUACGAUGGUGCUUCAUCCAAGGUGAUCUCCAACUAUCAACGCAAGGACCUCAUCAUCUAUCUGAUCUGGCUUCGGGGCCCGAUUCGUAAAAGGCGGUGAAUGGCGGGAUCAUGAUUCGCAAACCCAAGGGGAAGAGCACGUAGUCCCAGAAUAAAUGUAAUUUUCUUUUAAGACUUCUUUAAUUACUUUCCGUUUUGGGCUUGGUACUCUAACAACAGUCUAUUUCAGUAUGCUUAUGGAUUUGUAUGGAUAAGUUUUGGAUUAUAUUAUUAGUCCUUGGGUUUUGUGCGAUUAUUAUUGUGCUUUUUCUAUAUUGUGGGUUUAGUUUUUUCCUUUCUAGUUUUAGUUUAAGGGAGGGAAUCACGUUCCUAAAUCCCUGUGCCAAUUACUUGUGGAUUCCACUCUACUGGGCUUGCUGUCUUGAUUUAUAGUAAUUUAAAAGUGAAUUGAGGGAAGACAAUCUUAUUGUAGGAUACUGGGUAUUCCCAUUAUAGGGAAAGUGGUACAUCCUCGACUGGACUCUCAUUCUGUGUUUUUAAAGGAAGUGAGACUUGAAACUUAUCAAGGAUACUGGGUAUUCCCAUGAAUUGAAUGUGAAACAAAUGAGACUUGAAUCUUACUAAAGAUAUUGGGAAGUUAUCGUUUACCAUAAAUAGUUGGCUUGUUAUGGUCAGGAUUAAUUGAUAGUCUAGUCUUAUUAUGGUGGGUGUGGUACUGCUUUACAGUUUUGGGUGGGUGGCCUGAAGUGGAGUUUAAUCAUAUCAAGAUGUUGGGUCAGUGCUUUACAAUCACUGAUAGGUUAGGCAUUGUCUUGGAUAUUAAGUGGUGUGAAGAGAGCUGAAGAUGGAUGGGAUGUUAUAUUCUCUACUAUUAGUGAAUCAGGAUUAGAGUUUGGAGUCUGCUUAUCAGGCAUUUAGUGAGAGUUUAAAUAAAACCAAAAUGUUGGGAAGUGCUUUACAGAUUACAAUCAGAGGUAUGUUAUGUAUUGUCUUGCAUUGCUUUGGAUUAGGGGAAGUGCUUUAUAGAUUAUGUAUUGUCUUGUAUUGCCUUGGCUUAUUAGUGGAACAAGAGUGCUCAAAGUUGGAUGGGGGUAUUAUCUUCACUGCUGUAAGUGAAUCUGGAGAUGGGAGUGGUUUGGAGUCUGCUUAUCAUGCAUUUAGGUAAAUUCUUAUGUUGUGCUGCUUAGUGAGUAGAAUAUCUUAUCAGACAUAGGAUUGUGUAAAAGUGAAUCUUGUCAUGGGUGUAAACUGAGUUUAACCCUCUGCCCUCUGGUCUUUGUCAUACAUGUGUGCAUUUGGUGCCACUGUAUGGCUGCAGAAUAGGCACAAGGCUAGUGAUGUUCAUUCUUUGUCAUAUUGUGAUGUGCAUUUGGUGCAACUGUGUGGUCUUUGUCAUAUUGUAUAUCCCUCAACCGCCAUGGUUUGAAUGGAUUUAUAUAAGCACUUCGAAGUUGACAUCCUCCUCAUAUUGCCUUAUAGGUCAGUGCUUUACAUCUUGGUAUUGCAGUAUUUAGUUGAUAUCCUCCUCAUAUUGCCUCAUAAGUACAUAAUGGAUGGCCAAGAUUUCUCCAACAUUGUUUAGUUGAUAUUUUCGUUUAUCUAUCCCAAAAUUUCGUUUUUCUCAUCUUUCUCAAAAUCUCUCUCUCUGUCUCUCGUUAGCGGGCGGAGUCCGGCCGAGCCAUUGAUUGAUACAAGUAAUCAAAUUAUUAUCAAUCAAUGGAGUAGGAAUUUGAUGGGUCAAGGCCUUGGUAUUGGGAUAGAUGAUUCAUCGAAUCAGUGCUUUGUAGAAUCUUGGCCGAUGGCCAUCCAUUAAGAUUGGAUAGUUCAGAUUUACUUAUUACCACAUAAGAGAGGAUCCCAGUUACAGGUGCGCGGUGUUAAAAAAAGGAUCGACCUUUUCGUCUUUUUAACAUUAUGGUAAAGAGGUCAAUUUUUUAUACACACUUAUUUUGUUAUGGGUGACCAUGUGGGAUGAGAUAGAAAUAAAAUAAAUUAGUACGUGAGCCGUGAGAUAGUUUAUUGAGCCAAGCUGAGAUAGUUCGAAAACUUUUUGGUAAUUAAGUAGACCACCAUGAGAAGUUGAGAACAGUAAUGCUCACCAUGUAUGGCAACUAAUACACAAUCGAGUUUCAUUGCUUUUAGAGUUUUAAGGUCCAUGAUCCCAGAGAGCACCUACUCCAGGCACGUCUGGGAAGACCCACAGGUCCAUACUCAUCUUUCUUUGGUGAGUCCUUUAUUUAUUUAUUUAGAAUCCUAAUUGUACAAGUCUGCUAGCUCUUCCUAAAUAGGUAUCUCCCAAAAGUCAAAGCUCCCAUCUCGGGUCGGGAUUUGUUAUAGAAAAUACAUUAGUUUGAGGGGAGCCCUUCUAGUGAGGACCCUUAAGUUGAGGACUUGGUGAGGACUUUUCGGUUUAUGGUUUAAAAGACCUAAUUUUCGAUCACAUUUUGACAUCUCAUCCGUUCAGUUUUUAGGUUUAUAUGAGUAUAUCAUUUCUACAAAUUUUCACCCAAAUUAGUGUUCGUUAAGAUAACAAACUAUAUCAAAUUAAUGGACGAACCAAAUCUGUCAAAUAUGAACCGUUCAAGUUCAUAAUUGAUAAAUCACACUUAUGAAUGCCUUAAUAAUUUUCAAUAUAGCUGAAAAUUUGAAGAAAUGAUCCACUCAUAAAUACCUAUAAACUGAACGGUCAAGAUGUGGAUAUAAGAUCGAAAGGUGGGAUAAACCGAAAAGUCCUCACCAAGUCUUUAACUUAAAGGUCCUCACUAGAAGGGCUUCCUUAGUUUGAGUAUGGGUUUCUAGCGUUGUACUGAUAGCAGAUGAAACAGAAAGAAGAGAGACCAAAUGAAGGGAAACACCAAAACAGGGUAUGGAUUUAACUGUAGAUUGAUACAAAUUAACUACCAAAACAGGGUAUCAGCUACACUAAACAUAAGAUCACGAUUUAUGAAAUUCAGUAUGUUCACAACCUACGUAGGGCAGAAGAGCUAAAUCCCUUCUUGUUAUAUUCAUCCUCCUCUAACUUGUACUUUUCUUCUAUCUUGAUCAUCUUCUCGAUUUCCACGUUAGAUAACACACCUCUGUAAUUCGAAAUGGUGAUCGUGUUCUUGAUUUGGAGCCGUUUUUCCUCAGCGGAUACAAUCAAAAUUCCAUUGGCAUCGAUCUCAAAACAAAUAAUAAUUUGAGGUUUACCUUUUACACCACGAGGAAUACCAUUGAGCACAAACUCACCCAGCAAUUUAUUUUUUUUGGCUAUUGUUUCUUCGCCCUCAUACACAGGAACUAUCAAACCAGAUUGGUUAUUUACGAUAGUUGUGGCGAAUUUAGUUUUCUUAGUGGGAAUGGUAGUGUUUUUUGGGAUGAAAACCUCAAAUGCAUCUGUGUGAGUCUCCAAACCAAUGGACAUGGGAGUUACAUCCAACAAGAGCAAGUCUUGCACCUUCUCAAUGUCACCCUGCAAAACUGCAGCUUGUACCGCAGCGCCAUAUGCAACUGAUUCAUCAGGAUUGAUACUUUUGCAAAGCUCCUUACCAUUAAAGAAAUCUUGCAAUAGCUGUUGUAUCUUGGGAAUUCUACUAGAUCCACCAACAAGAACAAUAUCUUGAAUACUAUUUAUAUCCAUUUUAGCAUCCCCUACACAAUCCUCCACGGUCUUCAUGCAUUUUCUAAAGAGAUCCAUGUUAAGCUCUUCAAAUUUUGCUCUUGUUAUUUUAGAGUGGAAAUCGAUACCCUCGAAUAAAGAAUCUAUUUCAAUGGUGGUUUCAGCAGUCGAAGAAAGAGUCCUCUUUGCUCGCUCACAAGAUGUUUUCAUUCUUCUUAGUGCUUUGGGGUCAUUGCUGAUGUCUUUCUUGUGUUUCUUCUCAAAUUCUUGCCUAAAGUGGUUCACCAUUCUAUUAUCAAAAUCUUCACCCCCGAGGUGUGUAUCUCCUGCAGUAGCUUUCACCUUAAAAAUCUCAUCUUCAAUUUGAAGGAGGGAAACAUCGAAGGUACCACCCCCAAGAUCAAAAAUGAGGACAUUAUUACCACCAAUGUUUGUGGCCCUUUUGUCAAGACCGUAUGCAAUAGCUGCGGAUGUUGGCUCAUUAAGGACGCGCAUCACAUUCAUGCCUGCUAUCACACCAGCAUCUUUUGUCGCUUGUCGCUGAAAGUUAUUAAAGUAUGCGGGGACUGUUAUAACGACAUUCUUUACUGCAUGUCCAAGGUAGGCCUCUGCAAUUUCACGCAUCUUACUAAGGACCAUUGAAGAUAUUUGUUCAGGGGCAAAUUCCUUCUUUUCAUUUUUGUAGUUGACCAUAAUCAUAGGCCUGUCACCCACACCACGAAUCUUAAAGGGCCAUAAUUUCAUAUCACUCUUAACACACGCAUCACUAAAUCUUCUUCCUAUUAAUCGCUUUGCAUCUGAAAGAUAGUAAACAAGAGCAUUCAUUAGUUACGAAUAGUCAAAGUUAAUUAAGUGAAUAUUGUAAAUAUGACUAUCACUGAUAAUGGUAUAAAUCCAUGAAAAAUAUAAAAUAAAAGUCCAACGACGACAAAGUUUGGAUAGAAUCCAGUUUAACUUGAUUAAUUGAAGUUUGAACUUUGGUACCUGGUGAAAUCUAUAUACACGUUUUGAAUUUCAUAUAGGGAAGUCAUGUAAUUGAUAGCCAAUGUAAAAAAACAGAGAAAGAAAAAAAGCUCAUAUACAUAUUACAUUAGAACAACCAGCUAAAUAUUUAGUAUGAAAUUGAUGACGUACCAAAAAUAGUGUUGAUUGGAUUGGUGGUGACUUGGUUCUUGGCAGCAUCACCGAUCAACCGGCAUUCAUUAGUGAAAGCAACAUAGGACGGUGUUGUUCUGUUGCCUUGAUCAUUGGCUAUGAUCUCUACGCGAUCGUGUUGCCAAACCCCAACGCAUGAGUAAGUAGUUCCAAGAUCGAUGCCGAUAGCUGGAGCCUCGCGUUUUGCUGCUAAUGCCAUUAUCUAUCAAUUAUAAGUAGAGCUUGUGUGUAUUUGUUUUAGACGGACAGAGACAAUUGAAACUAAUAGGUCUGAUUUGCAAGUAUUUAUAACGAGAGGUUCAACACACGGAUAAGAGUGCAAUAUUCCGUUAGGAAACUGGAUUCCUAUGUUUCCUUAGCAAGACACUUAAUCCUCGCUGGACUAGAACAAAUUAAAGCAGACACCCAUAUAUUUAUUUAGAAUCCUAAUUGGGCCAUGAAUCCUAAACAAGCAUAUAUCUCCAAGUCCCAACGCAGCUUCAAUUUUCAACCCCCCUCAGUAGCUCAUCAGGAUUGAUUGUUCUAACUGCCGCACAUAGAUAUUUGUUUGCCACACUCCUGUGAUCGAUCCGUAAUUUUAUCCCACUUCUAUAUUAGACAAUGAUCUUUCUCUCUCGCUCGAAUUGCAAUAACGAGACGGUGUACACUUCACCAUGGUGACGUAAUCCAACUGACUGGUGCAGUAAGAAUCUAGUCGAACUAGGUUAAGAUAUUAGGAUAUUAAUCCUAGUCUAACAUGAAUUAAAAUUCUGUCAUUCCUAUUUGAUUGUGGAUCACUCAAAUGAAUAAGCAAUAAGCCAUGGUAUUAGCCACAACUCUAUGUAACCUUUCACAAAUAUUAGCAUCACGAUGUUGUUUGAUGUCCCAAGUAUAGGAUAGGAACUUCCUGUAAAUGAUAGUGAAACCACUCCAGCUUGAUUCAAGAAGUCUUGAAAUCGAAUCAUACAAGUAGUAGUGACUUGGGAACCUCCUUUUUUUUUUUUUCCUAGAAUGUUUAGUAUAUUGUUAAAAUCUCCUAACAUGAUCCAUGGAUCAGUAACAGUGGGCUUUAAUGUAAGCAAAUGAUCCCAUAAACUGAUCUGAUUUGGUUGGUGAGAGUACAUGAAUAAAAUGAUAUACAAAACUUCAUACCGGUACGUACAUGUAAGCCAUAAGCAUGAAUAUAUCCAUCAUUGUUACAAAAAAGAAAAAAAAGAAAAAGAAAAAAAAAGAAUAUAUUAUUAACAUCAAGGAUAUGGGUAAACUUAAAGUGUGUUAAUAUAUGUCAUGCAUCAACUUUGUCCUACAGUUAUAGAUUGAGUCCUCAUAGUAGUAAUAUUAGUCCUCAAAAUUGUAAUAUGAGUCAUUAAAGUUGUAGUAUGCCCUUCAAAUUUUGCUCUUGUUAUUUUAGAGUGGAUGUCGAUACCCUCAAAUAAAGAAUUAAUCAAGCUCGAUGGUGGUUUCGGCUUUUAAAGAAAGAGUUCUUUUUGCUCUCUCGCAUGAUGUUCUCAAUUUUCUCCAUGUUGUUAUGUGCUUCUUCUUGAACUCUUGCACAAAAUGGUUCACCAUUCUAUCAUCAAAAUAUUCACCCUUGAGAUGUAUAUCUCCUGCAGUAAUUUUCACCUCCAAAAUCCCAUUUUCAAUUUUAAGAAGGGAAACAUCGAAGAUACCACCCCUAAGAUCAAAAAUGGGGACAUUAUUGCCACCAAUAAUUGUCGCCUUUUUUUUUUUCCCCAAACCGUAUGCAAUAGUUGCGGAUGUUGGCUCAUUAAGGACACGCAUCACAUUCAUGUCGGCUAUCACACCAGCAUCUUUUGCCGCCUGUCUAUGAAAGUUAUUGAAGUAUGCCGGAAUCGUUAUAAUUAGAUUCUUUACUGUCUAUCCGAGAUAGGCUUCUGCAAUUUCACGCAUCUUACCGAGAACCAUUGAAGAUACUUCUUCAGGGGCAAAUUGUUUCUUCUCAUUUUUGUCGUUGAUCACAAUCAUAGGUGUCACAUCCCGACCCUUAUAUUUUUACUUUAUUUACUAGCGUGAUUAUAAUAAGAAUUUUACCGUCUCGAUCAUUGAGUAAAUAGUUUAAUUGGUCCCUAGAGGGGUUUCGGGGACGAUUAUGUGCGGAGGAUUAUUCGUAUGAGGAAAAUACGACUACGGUAAAAAUGGUAAAUUUUAGCUAGUAAAAGGUAAUUUUUAUUCGGGUAUUAUUUUUCGGGGUGUUUUUAUUUUGGAAGUUUGGUUUAAAAGGGUGUUGGUCGGCUGGGCCGAGCCAACCCAUUCUUCUUCCUUUCUCUCUCUCUCCCUCCCGAUUUUUCUUCUUCUUCCCACCCGAGUUUUUUCUCUCUACACCCAGCAGACUUCCGGCCGUCCUCCCGCCGCCGUCCGACCUCCGUUCGCCGCCGGACCGGUCCCGNNNNNNNNNNNNNNNNNNNNNNNNNNNNNNNNNNNNNNNNNNNNNNNNNNNNNNNNNNNNNNNNNNNNNNNNNNNNNNNNNNNNNNNNNNNNNNNNNNNNNNNNNNNNNNNNNNNNNNNNNNNNNNNNNNNNNNNNNNNNNNNNNNNNNNNNNNNNNNNNNNNNNNNNNNNNNNNNNNNNNNNNNNNNNNNNNNNNNNNNNNNNNNNNNNNNNNNNNNNNNNNNNNNNNNNNNNNNNNNNNNNNNNNNNNNNNNNNNNNNNNNNNNNNNNNNNNNNNNNNNNNNNNNNNNNNNNNNNNNNNNNNNNNNNNNNNNNNNNNNNNNNNNNNNNNNNNNNNNNNNNNNNNNNNNNNNNNNNNNNNNNNNNNNNNNNNNNNNNNNNNNNNNNNNNNNNNNNNNNNNNNNNNNNNNNNNNNNNNNNNNNNNNNNNNNNNNNNNNNNNNNNNNNNNNNNNNNNNNNNNNNNNNNNNNNNNNNNNNNNNNNNNNNNNNNNNNNNNNNNNNNNNNNNNNNNNNNNNNNNNNNNNNNNNNNNNNNNNNNNNNNNNNNNNNNNNNNNNNNNNNNNNNNNNNNNNNNNNNNNNNNNNNNNNNNNNNNNNNNNNNNNNNNNNNNNNNNNNNNNNNNNNNNNNNNNNNNNNNNNNNNNNNNNNNNNNNNNNNNNNNNNNNNNNNNNNNNNNNNNNNNNNNNNNNNNNNNNNNNNNNNNNNNNNNNNNNNNNNNNUGAAUACUUUUAGAAUUUUUGUAUAUUAUGUGAUAUUCAGAAGCGUUAAAUUAAGAGUGUAAUAUGAAAUUUUCGAGUUAGGGUUGUCCAUCUGCAAGGGAGAUUUUCUUAAUCUUUUCAGUAAAUUUUCCUUGGAGGUGGUCCCCGCACGACUUACUCUGGGUUUCAGGGUGAAAUUCGGGGUGGGUCGUGUCAAUAGGCCUGGCACCUGCACCACGCAUCACAAUCAUAGGCCUGUCACCUGCACCACAUAGGGGCGGCCUUUGGGUCGUGCUAUGUGUGCGGUCGCACAAGGCCUCCAAUUUUCGAGGUCCUUCGGAAAAAAAAAAUUCAUACAAAUAUGUUAUAAUUAUCAAAAAUUCUGAGAAGUUAAUAAGUGCACUUGUAGCAUAGUAGGUUAAGUCCCUUUAGUUGGUUAUUAACUUAUCAUCCACCCUAGGUCGAGGCCCUAUGGCCUACUUUUUUUAUUUUUUUCUGUCUUUUCAAGAUCAUUUGAUUCGUAUGAGGGUUGUAUCCUCAUUACAACACAAACAUCCUACAAUCUAAUAGCAAUAGUUCAUAGACAUGUUUCUAAACAAACUAAAAGCAAGAAAAUAAAAGCUCUCCAUGUGAAAAGCAUAUAUGGACUAAGAGCAAUUGUUCCGAAACAAGCAAAAACAAAAUUGAAAAUGCAAAAAGGGAAAUAGAAAAAAAAAGACUUCAAAGAACCUCCUUACCCUAGGACAUCUUCUCUUCUUCUUAGGAGGAGAAAAGACACAAUCUGAGAGAUUGACAACCUUCGAGUUAGCUAAGGCUAACGAGGCAGCGAAGGAUCUGAUAACCUCAUCAAUGGACAAAAUUUGGGUUGUUGACAAUGCUUGGCUAGGUUACGUUUUGAAAACCGAAAGAGAAUGCCAAGACGAGUGAGGCAGCAAACGAUCUCGUGACCUCGUCGAUGGAAAAGGUUUGAGAUCCCACGGCAGAGUUCGACAUAGGGUUCUUCGAACAAGAGGAGGAGGAGAUGCCAAGAAAGGCCAUGCUAGGGUUUCCUCCAAGAGAUGAUAGUGAUAAUAAGGAUGUAGAUGAGUUUUUGGAGGCUUUUGAAGACGAGGCGGUAUUAAGUGAUGGCAGGGAAGAAACCAUGGCGUUGGUUGAUCAGUUAUUUCUAAACCAAUUUAUUUUCCUUAUUCACUACUAAAUGGCCGUUUAUAGUAUGGGUAAAUAAGGGUCAUUCCCGCAAAGGACUAAAUGAAUCUAACCACUCGAAAGAUGUCACAAAAGUGACUACUGAUCCUAGCAACCAACAGUCGAAAACCUAAUCAGUUACCUAACCUAAACUAGUCAUAAAACUAUUUAGCGACACAAACUAGACUUAUAGAUGGAGUCAAACACAAAAUUUCAAAUUAAUUGGAGUUCAUUUGGUAUGUCAAAUAAAUAUUGGAAAACAGAGGAUAGAAAGUGACGAAAACUGGUUUUUGGUUUUGGUUUUGGGAAACAAUGAAAUAAAACUAGCUAGGGAAGAUGCAAUCCACCCUGACAAUCACACACAAGACAAUUUGUUCAGUUAUAGUUCAAUUAUCUAGAUGAAGAUGCUCAACUUGGUUCGGUUCGCUUGAAACACAACCUAUUACCCUUUCUUACUUCGUACGCUAGGCAGAAAGUGCUCUACACAAACUAUUCUCAAGCAAUACAAACCUAACUUAUUAGAUUAAACAUGUAGAGAUCAUUAAGUUCUAAAAGAGUUUGAG